UACGUAGGAGGCAAGCGUUGUCCGGAAUUACUGGGCGUAAAGCGUGCGCAGGCGGUUAUGCAAGACAGAUGUGAAAUCCCCGGGCUCAACCUGGGAACUGCAUUUGUGACUGCAUGGCUAGAGUGCGGCAGAGGGGGAUGGAAUUCCUGGUGUAGCAGUGAAAUGCGUAGAUAUCUGGAGGAACACCGAUGGCGAAAGCGGCCACCUGGACUGCACCUGACGCUGACACGCGAAAGCUAGGGGAGCGAACGGG
RNAcentral lists this ribosomal RNA (253 nucleotides) under uncultured bacterium. RNAcentral describes it as "partial 16S ribosomal RNA". It matches the Rfam family "Bacterial small subunit ribosomal RNA", at positions 524 to 776 of the family's 1533-position model. The record is from RNAcentral.